RNAcentral lists this non-coding RNA (448 nucleotides) under uncultured Prevotella sp. Lineage: Bacteria; Pseudomonadati; Bacteroidota; Bacteroidia; Bacteroidales; Prevotellaceae. The record is from RNAcentral.
AUCUGCCUCGCCGAAGUACUCGCCAUCGCCUAAAAGAGCAAUCCGUAAGUCCUCGCCGUGAGGACCCUUGCUGAUGACUUCAGCCUGUCCGCUGGCUACGAUGAAGAAACGCUGCUUGUCCUUGCCCUCUUCUACGAAGAGUUUAUCGACGUCGACCUCCUUGGCCUCGAAUGAGCUAACCAGACGGUUCAGUAUCUCGUCGUCGAACUCAGAGAAGAGGGGAAUUGCCUUGAGGUUCUUAGCCGUAAACGACGGUACGCCGUUCACAUACUGGAUAGGCAGUCGGUCGUUCUUACGAAGUUCAACCUUCGUGCGGUUCACGCGGAACGUACCGCCGCUGACUUGUACCCAGGGCAACAACUUCAGAAGUAAUCUCGGAGUGAUUGAGCCCAUCUGUGGGGCGGUCUUGGUGGUGGUUGCCAGUCUUCUGGCGGUAGCAGUAGUCACA